CUUUUAAUAUUCCUCUGAUAUACAAAUCUUCUGAAAACUUUAAUAUUAUCAAGGUUUAUAAACGACUUAAUAUUAGAAUUGAGACUCUCUUCAGGUAUUUUAAUACUACAGUAGCAAUUAAUACACAGUACAUUGUAAUUGUUUUUGUUCUUGAAAAUUGCCCUUUCACGCGCUCUUUCAACCAUUAGAAACAUAAUAGCGUUAAACGGCUAAAUUAUGCUGGAGGAACCACAAAUGUCUCUACAUUUAAAGCUUUUUCAAACUGACACAGAGGUGAAUGGACAAGAUUACAAUUAAUUGUGACAUUUUUCUUCGACAACAGCACUCUUCGCGGCUCCUGCCGGCUCUAUACUGACCCUGUUUCACACGCAAUAUUUUCCUUAUUCAGUCGCUAACACACCUUUUGUAUCCCACUAUGAAGAACAUCAACAUUUCCACCAAAACCCCGAAAAAAUAAUCAUUUU
Paramuricea clavata is the source of this 464-nucleotide non-coding RNA. The record is from the annotation of a GenBank genome assembly. NCBI's taxonomy places the organism in Eukaryota, Metazoa, Cnidaria, Anthozoa, Malacalcyonacea, Plexauridae.